CCUACGGGUGGCAGCAGUGGGGAAUCUUGCACAAUGGGGGAAACCCUGAUGCAGCGACGCCGCGUGAGUGAAGAAGUAAUUCGUUAUGUAAAGCUCUGUCAUCAGGGAAGAAAAUGACGGUAACUGAGUAAGAAGCCCCGGCUAACUACGUACCAGAAGCCGCGGUAAUACUUAGGGGGCAAGCGUUAGCCGGAUUUACGGGGUGAAGAGGGAGCGUAGACGGCAGUGCAAGUCUGGAGUGAAAGGCGGGGGCUCAACCCUCGGACUGCUCUGGAAACUGUACGGCUGGAGUGCAGGAGAGGUAAGUGGAAUUCCUAGUGUAGCGGUGAAAUGCGUAGAUAUUAGGAGGAACACCAGUGGCGAAGGCGGCUUACUGGACUGUAACUGACGUUGAGGCUCGAAAGCGUGGGGAGCAAACAGGAUUAGAUACCCCGGUAGUC
This 440-nucleotide ribosomal RNA is filed under the name uncultured bacterium. RNAcentral describes it as "partial 16S ribosomal RNA". It matches the Rfam family "Bacterial small subunit ribosomal RNA", at positions 338 to 795 of the family's 1533-position model. The record is from RNAcentral.